GGAGAUUUAGCUCAGUGGCACAGCGCCUGCCAGGAAAGUGUGAGGUCCUGAGUUCUAUUCCCAGAACCUUCC
Molecule: transfer RNA, 72 nt
Filed under: Cavia porcellus (domestic guinea pig)
Lineage: Eukaryota; Metazoa; Chordata; Mammalia; Rodentia; Caviidae
Rfam family: tRNA
About the family: Transfer RNA (tRNA) molecules are approximately 80 nucleotides in length. Their secondary structure includes four short double-helical elements and three loops (D, anti-codon, and T loops). Further hydrogen bonds mediate the characteristic L-shaped molecular structure. tRNAs have two regions of fundamental functional importance: the anti-codon, which is responsible for specific mRNA codon recognition, and the 3' end, to which the tRNAs corresponding amino acid is attached (by aminoacyl-tRNA synthetases). tRNAs cope with the degeneracy of the genetic code in two manners: having more than one tRNA (with a specific anti-codon) for a particular amino acid; and 'wobble' base-pairing, i.e. permitting non-standard base-pairing at the 3rd anti-codon position.
Source: Rfam by way of RNAcentral